This is a long non-coding RNA of Drosophila pseudoobscura, 775 nucleotides long. RefSeq lists it as uncharacterized. The record is from RefSeq and is a predicted model, not a curated record. Lineage: Eukaryota; Metazoa; Arthropoda; Insecta; Diptera; Drosophilidae. The transcript has 2 exons.
GUCUUCUUGAGCUGACCCAGUUCUCUAAAACAAGGUCAAGCCCAAAGUCAAAGCCUAGUGCAAGUGCCAAGUGCGGCUCAAAGUGAUCAUUGAAUUUGAGUGGACGCGCCAGUUAUAUAUCGCCAAUACUGGGGCAGCCGUUCGACCAUUUGGAAACGAGCGUCCCCAGUGUAGCAACAUUUUUCGAAACAGUGGUGCAAUUCUGUUGAGGAUUAGCACCACUAGUAUCUACGUAUUGAAACGCUGGUCUAGAAGUUACGGAUUGGUUAUUCCCGGAGACCUCUUGGCCACGUGCCCGUACCACCGUUCGGUAGCCGAGGGCAUGGACUUGCUCCUCAAGUAAACCCGAUCGGUGUGCUCUGCAAUCUUCUCCUGGACAAGUUCGACCCAUGGGGAUGAGCUGAGUGACUCUUCAAAAAAACCAGUCACCCCACGAGCAAUCCAGUGUGCGAGUGUACCUAACCUCACGCCGCAGAUGGGCCGCGGUCAUUGACCCCUGGCAUCGGAAGCAGCUGAUGUUACCUGCGCCCGGUACCAUCGUGUGCCACCUUCAGACCUCGAGUAGGAACUCGGUCUCCAGCCGGGAAGCAUCGAACCCGCAUCGGAUUUAGUUAUAUUUUCUAUCUUUCUUUCGAAAUUAGACCCGAUAUGCGAAUCCCUGUUUUUUUAUCCGCUUUCUGUUUAACAAUGUUCUUUUGAUACGGCAAAAAUGUGCAAAAGCCAAUUAAAUACGGUAUAAACAAAAAGGGAAUUCCUGUCCAUGGGCUAAGUCGAA